CAGAAAUCCAAGUAGCAUGCAUUGGACAUGCCGUGAAAACGUGCACACCACAUGGCUACUGAGACGGCUGCUCAAGGAAAGAAGCACUUAUGAACUUUUCGUUCAUUUCUAUGAAUUUGGCUUCUAAUCUUCGAAUCAAGCGAGAAUGUGGUAUCUUUGGCCGAUGAGUUAAUGGCGAGGCGAAGGAAAGAAUUUUAGUUUUAUAGAUGAAAGAAGCUGACACUGGUACAGUGACCCUAAUGACGAAGUGAAAAAUUAGACUAUUGCCUCUUUGUAUAUGGCUCUCCUUGUGUGCGAGACGUUUUUUAAGAAUAUUAAUAUAUCACAUCUCGAUUCAGUGCGUCAAAUGCUUAGCAAGAAAUUCAAUCUUUUUGAUGUUAAAUUCUUAAUAGCCUCACAAAAAUGCAGAAUUUAACAAAAGGA
Molecule: long non-coding RNA, 423 nt
Organism: Xenia sp. Carnegie-2017
Lineage: Eukaryota; Metazoa; Cnidaria; Anthozoa; Malacalcyonacea; Xeniidae
Exons: 3
Source: RefSeq, a predicted model, not a curated record